AGAACGCAGCGAAAUGCGAUAAGUAAUGUGAAUUGCAGAAUUCAGUGAAUCAUCGAAUCUUUGAACGCACAUUGCGCCCUUUGGUAUUCCUUAGGGCAUGCCUGUUCGAGCGUCACUAAAAACCCCCUCACAGAUAAUGUGGUAUUGGUAGAAGUGAACGGUACUUACAUUACCUUGUCUCACUCUGCUGAAAUGAAUAGGCCAGAGAAGUGGACCCAUGGUAAUUGACUCCAGGAGUGUUUUUCAAUGCUAAACUAGUCUUUACCCAAGUCAAAUUCUGAGCUACCGGACCCCCCAUUAAGUCCAAAACAGAGUGGUUGACCUCGGAUCAGGUAGGGAUACCCGCUGAACUUAAGCAUAUCAAUAAGCGGAGGA
RNAcentral lists this ribosomal RNA (375 nucleotides) under Tuber anniae. RNAcentral's name for it is "eukaryotic LSU rRNA". The stretch from base 1 to 115 matches the Rfam family "5.8S ribosomal RNA", at positions 40 to 154 of the family's 154-position model. The record is from RNAcentral. Lineage: Eukaryota; Fungi; Ascomycota; Pezizomycetes; Pezizales; Tuberaceae.